UUUUUUUUUUUUUUUUUUUGUAAAUAUGCUAGAUUAUUUCCAUAGUGAAAAAUACGAAGCAAGCUAAAUCUCCAUCAAAUAGGAGUUACAAUAAUUCUGGUACAUCCAGUUGACAGAUUUAUAGGCAACCAAUAAAAAUCUUCUUCUUACAGAAUAUUUAAAAAUAUUGGGAAAAACAUGUGGUAUAUUAAGUGUAUUAAAGCAGCUUAACAAAACUGGGUUUGUGUUAAGUAAGAAGGCAUUAUUUCUCGGUGGAUAAAAACCUGGGCUCUGAGCCUGAUUGCUUGGUUAGAAUCCUGGCUCCAUUCAAGGCUAUCAUGGUCUUCGUGAUGAGUUACUGUACUUUCUUAUUGCACCAAUUUCCUUACUUUAAAAAUAGUAUAAUAAUAGUACGUAGAGAUUAUUGCGAGGGUAUAACUGAGUAAUAUUUAACGUUGAAAUUGCCUGGUGUAUAUAAAAUGCUCAGUAAAUGUUAGUCAUCAUUAUAUAGUCCUCAGCAGAACUGUAUGUAGUGGGAUCUCUGGUAAGCGCUCGAUAAUUUCUUCAUGAAUAAUAUAUGUUCAGUAAGGAGGCAGAAAGAAAUGAUUUUCUUUUGCAAUGAACUAAGAGACGGAGGCCUGAAAAAAUGCAGACAUGAGCAAGAAGAGAAAAUGGAUGAACACAAGAUAAUAAUGUCAGGACUUUUUAUCAACAUCAAUAAUUCUAAUCUCUAUAUAGUACCAUUAAUGAAUGCAGUAUGUUACAUUCAUAUAAAAAGUUGAUUUCCAAAGCAUUGGCACAAUGAAAAUAGUUAAGAUUGUCCUUAAUAUGCUAGAAGCAGCAUUGUGAUUUUCAUGCAUUAUGUCACUCCUCACAGCAACCCUAUGAAAUAAGGACUAUUAUUAACUCCAUUUUACACAUCAAGAAACUGAGGAAAAGAGGUUAAGUGACCCACCCAAGAGCAUAGAGAUAAGAUGAAAAGGAGUUGAAUUUCAAACUCAGAAGGUUUGGCUUUGGAGUCUGUCCUUUUAACCACUAUAUUCUGGAAGGCUUUUCUACAUUCCUUCCAUUUACAUAUGCGUCAACCCCCUAUCUCUUUAUUAAAAAAUCCCUUGAGCUAGAUAAAAUAAAUGUUACCAUUACCUGUUUGACAGGGAGAAACAUCAGACAGAGGUGACUUGGCCUGACCACUCAGCUAUUUACUGGCAGGCAAAUCUUCUUGGGGGAUUAAUUGAUAUUCUGAUGGCACUCGCACGGUCCUAUCCCUAAUUCCCAGCAUUGGGAGCUAUUUCCCAGGAACAUGUUCUGCAGCUGGAAGGAGGCAUAAACACCUCACCAGCCUACAUUGCAGUUGCGUGGCUCAAUGCCUUUGCUACCUCUUUCUGAAUACGUCUAUUUUAAUUCUUUUCUCCCCCAUUCUUUAAUCCAGUCUAACUUCACUUUACUUAUGUUUUUAAGAGAAAAAUACGUAUUCUUGCCUUGGAGAAAAGCCAUGAGCUUCCUUUUCCUCCUGGGAGGGAUUAUUGGCAUUUGGAGGCCUUCUCUGUGAGCAUUCCACACCCCUUUUUAGAGCUGUUCCUCACCAUUUUUACUGGUCCUCAUAACAUUUCCCCUUUUCUUGCUGCCUCCUGACAUCACUCUGUUGCUAUUUCUUGUUCUUUGAUGUUUCCCAUAUCUAACUGCCCUGAUUCUCACCUCUACUUUCUGUCACAUUUGCCCCUCUGCUGUGAUUUGUUUCCUAGCUGGCAGGCUGGCGACCAAAAGAACAGCAUCAUUGCUCAUUGUGCUUCUCUGGCUUACUCAUGAAAUCACAAGCAGCCUCCUUCCUACAUAAAAUUCCCAGUUUGAGCUGGAAGAGAAAUAGCCAUUAGGGAAGCAUAUGCUUUGUAGAAAUAGGAACUGCUGGGCUCCCAGCUUCUUCCUGAGCCUAUCAGCUUUUCGGGAUAGUGGCAUAGUUCAACUUUCGAAAGGGCAGGACGAGAGCCUUAUAUAUCACAUUUUUGCUGUCAAUAGUUAAGAGCUAUUGCUCUGUGUUGAAAGCAUCGUGGUUACACUCUUGAGUCAGAGGUCACUCAUUUCAUUAAUGAGGUCUUCGGAUGGUGUCUUGAUGGUAGCAAGUGUCUGUGAAUUCUAAGUGGGUUUGUCCAGCAAGCAUAUUGCCAGUGUAUAUGGUAAGUAGUCAUUUGCUUCUAAUAUUAUUUGCGUUAGUCUCAACAUUUUAGAUUGUUUUUGUGAGGGAGAGUGUGGAGUUUGAGCAUCUGUCCUAAUCUGGGGUCAAAAAGAAAAAAAAGCGGCUGCUUUUCCAGUACCCUUUCUAGGUUUUUCUCAAUGGUGCAGAUUUGCUUGGGAGGAAGAAAAUGAUGCUAUUUCAAUGGAAUCUUUCAGACGCUAAUUUGAUU
This 2378-nucleotide long non-coding RNA is filed under the name Canis lupus familiaris (dog). RNAcentral's name for it is "lncRNA (ENSCAFG00000054446.1)". The record is from RNAcentral. Lineage: Eukaryota; Metazoa; Chordata; Mammalia; Carnivora; Canidae.